Molecule: ribosomal RNA, 484 nt
Filed under: uncultured bacterium
Lineage: Bacteria
Description: partial 16S ribosomal RNA
Rfam family: Bacterial small subunit ribosomal RNA
Source: RNAcentral
AUUGAACGCUGGCGGCAGGCCUAACACAUGCAAGUCGAGCGGAUGAAGGGAGCUUGCUCCUGGAUUCAGCGGCGGACGGGUGAGUAAUGCCUAGGAAUCUGCCUGGUAGUGGGGGAUAACGUCCGGAAACGGGCGCUAAUACCGCAUACGUCCUGAGGGAGAAAGUGGGGGAUCUUCGGACCUCACGCUAUCAGAUGAGCCUAGGUCGGAUUAGCUAGUUGGUGGGGUAAAGGCCUACCAAGGCGACGAUCCGUAACGGGUCUGAGAGGAUGAUCAGUCACACUGGAACUGAGACACGGUCCCGACUCCUACGGGAGGCAGCAGUGGGGAAUAUUGGACAAUGGGCGAAAGCCUGAUCCAGCCAUGCCGCGUGUGUGAAGAAGGUCUUCGGAUUGUAAAGCACUUUAAGUUGGGAGGAAGGGCAGUAAGUUAAUACCUUGCUGUUUUGACGUUACCAACAGAAUAAGCACCGGCUAACUUCGUG